AAGAUUUAAAUCUUUUAAAUCCUUGCUUUUAGAGUUAUUAUAUCAUUAUCUAAAAGGCUCAAAAUAUAAAAAAUUUAAAU
RNAcentral lists this small RNA (80 nucleotides) under Arabidopsis thaliana (thale cress). Its description in RNAcentral is "ATSL103110". The record is from RNAcentral. Lineage: Eukaryota; Viridiplantae; Streptophyta; Magnoliopsida; Brassicales; Brassicaceae.